RNAcentral lists this unclassified non-coding RNA (324 nucleotides) under uncultured Geastrum. RNAcentral's name for it is "sequence contains ITS1". The stretch from base 1 to 105 matches the Rfam family "5.8S ribosomal RNA", at positions 50 to 154 of the family's 154-position model. Lineage: Eukaryota; Fungi; Basidiomycota; Agaricomycetes; Geastrales; Geastraceae. The record is from RNAcentral.
GAAUUGCGAGACGUAAUGUGAAUUGCAGAAUUCAGUGAAUCAUCGAAUCUUUGAACGCAUCUUGCGCUCCUUGGUAUUCCGAGGAGCAUGCCUGUUUGAGUGUCGUCUUACUCUCAGUUUCAAAAUUUUUGAAACUGGAUUUGAACGCUGUCGGCGUCGUCGACUCGUUCUAAAUGCAUUAGCGGUCUGCCCUUGAUCACAACCACAAUGUGAUAAACUUUUGAGCAUUGUUUUUUGUCAAGUGGCGACGGCUUCUAACCGUCCCUUUCGGGACAACCGACCUCAUUUGACCUCAAAUCAGGUAGGACUACCCGCUGAACUUAA